RNAcentral lists this ribosomal RNA (253 nucleotides) under uncultured bacterium. Its description in RNAcentral is "partial 16S ribosomal RNA". It matches the Rfam family "Bacterial small subunit ribosomal RNA", at positions 524 to 776 of the family's 1533-position model. The record is from RNAcentral.
UACGUAGGGUGCGAGCGUUGUCCGGAAUUAUUGGGCGUAAAGAGUUUGUAGGCGGUCUGUCGCGUCUGCUGUGAAAAUCCGGGGCUCAACCCCGGACUUGCAGUGGGUACGGGCAGACUAGAGUGUGGUAGGGGAGACUGGAAUUCCUGGUGUAGCGGUGAAAUGCGCAGAUAUCAGGAGGAACACCAAUGGCGAAGGCAGGUCUCUGGGCAUUAACUGACGCUGAGGAGCGAAAGCAUGGGGAGCGAACAGG